Long non-coding RNA from Corvus hawaiiensis (hawaiian crow), 3980 nucleotides. RefSeq lists it as uncharacterized. The record is from RefSeq and is a predicted model, not a curated record. The transcript is spliced from 4 exons. Lineage: Eukaryota; Metazoa; Chordata; Aves; Passeriformes; Corvidae.
UGUCCCAGAUGCUCGGGCUGCUGGAAGAGCCCACAAACCAGUUCCUCCUGGGAAUGGUGGCCAAUUCCCAGUGCUGCCAAUCUCCCUUUCAUGGGCAAAGCCAGCAGGAGCAGCAGAGCCAGGCAUUUCCAGCUGCUCCCAGGGCUCAGGAGAGCAGCGUGGGGCAGUCCCUGUGAGCACAGACCCUGAGCCUUGACCCUGCACUGCCACAGAGCAGAGGAACCAAGAGCACGGAUGUGGUGAGCACAUGGCACCAGAAGAGCCUCCUGGGCACUGACAUUCAGCUCUACCUGCAGAGACCUGAGCUGGAUUAAAAUUGAGUCAAAAUAGGGGCAAAAGGAAAUCCUGAUCCACGCUGGCCAAAGCUGAGGACUGAAAUCGGUGCUGCCCUGAGCCCGGGGAUGAGGCUGAUUGACACCGACACCAUCUCUGCUCCGGUCCCAGCUCCUCCCUCCGCCAGGUUUCCGAUUUCAAGGCACGCUCUGGGAUGCUUUGGUGGGCAAAACCCAGACUUUUCUUCCCAGACCUUUCAAUUAAACAACUUCUUCAGCCAAACAAGAACCAUCUGCCCUCUCACACAUCUGCUGGGACGUGGGGAUCUGCAUUCCGAGGGUGAUGGAUUGACCAUGGAGCCGGCAGAGCCCCUGACCUCCCAGCCUACAGCUAAAACCAGGCAAAUCCUUUGGAAGGCGCCUGCAAAUGGAUAUUUUCAUCUGUUCAAUAACAGCCUGGUGUCCUCUUGGCUUCUCCACACGCUGAUGCAACCGAGUUUUUCCCGAAGGGCCGCGGGAUGCGCGUGCGGGGGCGAUAAUGAAGGAUAAAUCACCAGGAUGAGAUAACCAUCCAUAGAAUGAAGUCAUCUAAGGACAGGUUCGGACAUAUAUAUUUCAUUGUGAAAGACCUCCUUUAUUCCCACUAAUGGAACAAAUUAAAUCAGCCAAGCUGAAUAAAACUCUCACGUCCCAAGACGUAACAACGCACUUAAAAGUUCUCCGUUCCUCUGGUGGCACAAUCCAAUCACUCACCGCUGUCCCCUGGAAAAGGGGAGGCGGGGAGCAAGGACUGAGUUCAGGAAUUCAACAGGUGACAGGAGUGUGUUCCCCACCCCAAAGAGAGUCCCAGCACUGUGUAUUUCUCCAUAGCACUCCUGCAGACAGAUCCCGAGCAGUGACCUCACAGCCUGGGAUGGAUUCCAGGCACGUCCAGUGCAGCUGCCCUGGGGACAGAGGGGCACAGGUGUCCAGGACAGCGUGUGACACCCAUUUUUCCAGGAGAAUUGGGGGUGAUUUCAUUUGCACACUUUAUCCUUCACCUCAGGGCGUCUGAAAUAACCACACCUGGGCCCUUGCCCGCAGCACUGCAACACCUCCACAUCUCCAAGCACACAAGUUAAAGCCUUAUCACCACUGAGCAACUCGGUGCUGGGUGAAACCCAGGUACAACGUCACUGUUCCCGCUUCUCCCUUGCCUGUACCACCCAGGAGCCUUCCCAGCUCGUGGGAAGGCAGACAAGGCUGCAGGAACUGCAUUUUUCCUACAGCCAGCAUAAACAGCAUGAUGGAAAAAUAAUACCUAGAUGGCAACUGGCAGACAGAGGAGAGACAUUUAUUUAUUCUUGAUCACAAACAAUGUCCUGCAUUGACAAGCUGAAUGAAGGGCACUCCACUGAUUUAUUAGACCUAAUAAGAAACAGACCUCUCGGGAUGAAAUACAAGAUUGAUUUUUAGUGGUGAGCCUUGCUGCCAUCCCAGGCACUGAGCUCAGGCUGAUGAGAUGGAACCAGGCGUGCACAGGGACACGGAGCUGACACAGCUCUGCUAGGGCAGGGGAAUAAACGGGAGCAUUUGCAGGGGGAAGGGGAGAUGGAAUGGAAACAAGGCAGUAACAGCCCUGCACGCUGAGGGCUCCUCUGCUCUCCCCGCACCCUCCUCUCUCCCACUUAGGCUCUGUGUCCCAAGAGCAGCAAACCACUGGGAAGUUUAAGGUGCAGUUCCUGGGAAACCUCUGGGCCAGACCCUUCCCAUGAAUCUGCCUUCCAGAGGAGCCCCUCUGAACACAGCAAGUGCAAUUUUCACAUCAAUCUCAGCAUCUCCCAGGCAAACCACAUCAGCUGAGUUCCGUGGAUGCCGUUUUCCAUCAGGAAAAAGACAACUAGCACAGCAGUGCUUAGCUUGAGGCCCUAUUAAUAGCAGUUCUAAUUAUAUGGCUGCAAAUUUAAUUCAUGGCAAUGAUUAGUGUCAAAAUCAAAGGCAUCACACAUCAAUAUUGAUAGAAUUGUAUGAAGCCCAUAAACAGAACAAGCAAGCUGACACAUCUCCCCCCAGCACUUAGUUGCUGUUCACUGUUGCAUUAAUGUCCCUUCUCAUUUUGCUUGAUUGGAAACGGCUUCAUUGGAGGAAUCCACGAUUCUGAAUGGUUUUGUCUCCAACAUGAUCCCCUUUCCUCCUGUUCCCACAGCCAGGGAGCUGAGGUGCUUUGGAAGGAGAGCAGGAGGCAGAACUUCACCCACGUACCUGUGCUUGAGCCAGAGGGCCCCAGCAUCAGCAGCAUUUGCUUUUCACCUACUUUGAGACAAUUGCUGGGGAGCAGAACCAGCAGGAGCUGGGAAUGUGGCAGGAGCAGUGAGGUGAAGAGCUAAAGGCAGGAGGACACCAGUGAGGGAACCCAGUGUUUCCAGUAAGGAAUUCUCACUGGGGGAGCACAGGCAAAUCUGAAAGGCUUCAGAGACAUCUCCCUGACUUUCCUCCAGCUACACAAAAACACCUUCCCUGAAAGCCCAGACAGAGCCAGCAGCUCAUUUCCAAAGGAAAUCAACAGCUGUGGGCGAGGGAAUAGGUGUGACAAAGCUUUCAGACAUUAAUUGUGUGGGUAGAUCUGAGACGGAGGAAGACACGAAGGAGAUCUGGUGGAAAAGGCAUCUCCACAAAUCCCUGGCACUUACAGAGGUGCUGAACAUUUCCACCAUCAUUUCACAGAUGGGGAAGGAGUGAUAAGGAAACAGUCCCGAGCACUCACUGGCUUCAAGACGUGUCUGGUUAUCUUGAAACAGGCACAAAAUCCCGAGACAACCUGUUAACUUCCCCCGGGUCUCACCUCCUCUGCAGCCAGAGCCCCUCAGCUCCGUGCAGAGCUGCUUCCUGUGCCUCACCUGGCCUCUCUCAGGCCAUGGAAAAGAUAAUCCCACGUGUCAAAUGAGGGAAGAUCUGCUGAAGGUGUAGGACAGAACGGUGAGAGAGAGAACAGCAACAUCCUCGGCCCCACACAGGGGAGGACGGGACCACGAUUGUUCCAGUUAAUUACAGGGGGGAUGGAUCCCAUCAGCUGCAGGCAGCUCUGAUGUUAAAUAAGGGCAGAUGCCACGAAAGCCUGACUGUAGUGAAUGUCUGGAAUGAAUUUACUCCAGGGAUGGGCCAAUUUUCAUCCAACAGAUGAAGGAUUCCAGGUGAAGGAUUCCACAGCCCUCCCUCUGGACAGCGGAGCAUGAAUAGAUUAACUUCGCAUCAAAAACUGUUCAGUGUAGACUAGCACCAGGAAUUAAACCCUGCUGGAGGGACUGCUGCUUCUGUAAUCCUUCAUAAUUCAUGGAACAAGCCCGUAAAUACCUCGUGUGCAGGCACAGGCUCUUGGCUUUUGCUGCCUCUGAGCGACGAGCCUCCCCUGUCCCCCCAAACCCCUGCACGCAGCGAGCACCAGGCUGCAUCUCCGGGCUGCAUCCCCAGCUCCGAGCUCGGCACGUGCAUUUGGGCUGUGCCAAGGGCUCCUCUCCCUUCCAUUUAGCUAAAAGCACCCCGGCUCUCCCCUGUGCAGGGAAGUGAAGGGCUCUGCUUUACAAGCUCCCUCUCCCCCACGUUCAAAACUGCCCCACUGACACUCGAGAGGCACCAGGGAGGCACCUAAUUUACUACUACUCAGCACUUGUAAAGUGCUGAAUGAAUAUUAAUGAACUGAUGUAAUUAAAAUGAUGCAGACAUUCAAGUGUA